CCUACGGGUGGCUGCAGUAGGGAAUUUUGCGCAAUGGACGAAAGUCUGACGCAGCAAUACCGUGUGAGGGAUGAAGCAUUUCGGUGUGUAAACCUCUGUCGAUGACGAAUAAUGCAUCUGGGAGUGGAAAGCCCAGGUGUUGAAGGUAGUCAGAAAGGAAGCACCGGCUAACUCUGUGCCAGCAGCCGCGGUAAUACAGGGGGUGCAAGCGUUGUUCGGAAUUACUGGGCGUAAAGGGAGCGUAGGCGGGAUUACAAGACAGGGGUUAAAUCUCC
RNAcentral lists this ribosomal RNA (275 nucleotides) under uncultured bacterium. Its description in RNAcentral is "partial 16S ribosomal RNA". It matches the Rfam family "Bacterial small subunit ribosomal RNA", at positions 338 to 604 of the family's 1533-position model. The record is from RNAcentral.